This is a long non-coding RNA of Aquila chrysaetos chrysaetos, 384 nucleotides long. RefSeq lists it as uncharacterized. The transcript is spliced from 2 exons. Lineage: Eukaryota; Metazoa; Chordata; Aves; Accipitriformes; Accipitridae. The record is from RefSeq and is a predicted model, not a curated record.
AUGCAUAGUGUUCUGCAAUGCAAGGUAGCUCUGUCUUUACUUGUGGCUGUGUAUCUGACAGUUGACUUUGCUUAUUGCUGUUGAUGUACUUAAGAAGUGAUGUACUUAUUUCACAAGACCUUUGUGGUCUUCUUAAGAUACCCUUUGUAUACACAAGGCAUGCCUUGCUAACGACUGUACCCCUAAAGAAGAACUAAAAGACUGAUGAGAAGGGAACGUGCUACCCCAGGAGGCACCGAAAAGUUGAAUAAUUGCUAAUAGGCGUGAAGUCAGCAAAGGUCUUCGGUAACUGGAGGGAAGGUAUGAGGUGUGCUACCUUUGUGGAUUACCACCCAGCCCCCAUCUUUGCGCAAACAUGACUUGGAAUAAAAUACCUCUGCUCUG